Molecule: unclassified non-coding RNA, 935 nt
Filed under: Homo sapiens (human)
Lineage: Eukaryota; Metazoa; Chordata; Mammalia; Primates; Hominidae
Description: bMERB domain containing 1 (ENSG00000278823.4)
Source: RNAcentral
GGCUGGCAAAGAGAAGGGAGCGUGGAGCCGCCAUUUUGAACAUACCUAGACCAGGUGGCCUUUUCCUAUGGGCACAGCUGCCAGCAUUCACCCGUAAAAAGAAAAAACCAAACUGCAGAAGCAGAGAGAGGAUGAGCUAAUCCAGAAGAUCCACAAACUGGUGCAGAAGAGAGACUUCCUGGUGGACGAUGCGGAGGUCGAGCGGUUAAGGGAGCAAGAAGAAGACAAGGAAAUGGCUGAUUUCCUGAGAAUCAAGUUAAAACCUCUAGACAAAGUAACCAAAUCUCCAGCCAGCUCCCGGGCAGAGAAGAAAGCAGAGCCCCCACCUAGCAAGCCCACGGUGGCCAAGACGGGGCUGGCACUGAUCAAGGAUUGUUGCGGGGCCACCCAGUGCAACAUCAUGUAGCCCCCACGUGGGGUGCCCUGGGCCAUGGGGACCCCCCCCCCACCCUCUUGUCUUUAUAGCCCCCAUUUCACCGGGGCCCAAGAGCUCUCCAAGGCAGAAGGGGUUGAAGGCAAGCCCGUGACUGUCACCAGAGGCCAUGGGCACGGCAGGCGGGCCUGGCCACCCUGUACAGAGUGUAGCAGUAGGGAGUCUCUCACCGUCGCAUGGUCCUCCCCAGAGCAUGCCGAACCCAGGAGUCUGUCUCACUGUUUAUCCAAACACCAGGAAAGGUCCUCCCUCAAAAAAGCAUAUCUCCACUUCUCUCUAGCUGUAUCUAACCCACCGUGUGAAUGAACUGGGAGAGGGGCAUGCUCCCCAGCUGUGUGUAGUCGUGACUUCUCAACAAUCUAGCACCAUGUCGGACACGUUCCCCAUCCACCCUCCUAGCUCUGCUCUCAGAGCUAGGCACAUGGGCACAGGUCCCCUCCCGUCUGUCCUCUCCCAGCAACUGUGCCCUGGAGGGCUCCACAUGGCCCCCGUGUCUCUCGGG